Molecule: ribosomal RNA, 253 nt
Filed under: uncultured bacterium
Lineage: Bacteria
Description: partial 16S ribosomal RNA
Rfam family: Bacterial small subunit ribosomal RNA
Source: RNAcentral
UACGUAGGGGGCGAGCGUUAUUCGGAAUUAUUGGGCGUAAAGGGCGCGUAGGCGGCUUGACAAGUCAAAGGUGAAAUCCCUCGGCUCAACUGAGGAACUGCCUUUGAAACUGUCUGGCUUGAGGCCGGGAGGGGGUAGCGGAAUUCCCAGUGUAGCGGUGAAAUGCGUAGAUAUUGGGAGGAACACCAGUGGCGAAGGCGGCUACCUGGACCGGUUCUGACGCUGAUGCGCGAAAGCGUGGGUAGCAAACAGG